CGGGUGGCAGCAGUGGGGAAUAUUGGACAAUGGGGGCAACCCUGAUCCAGCAAUGCCGCGUGUGUGAAGAAGGCCUGAGGGUUGUAAAGCACUUUCAGUGGGGAGGAAAGGUUGUAGGUUAAGAGCUAGCGACUGUGACGUUACCCACAGAAGAAGCACCGGCUAACUCCGUGCCAGCAGCCGCGGUAAUACGGAGGGUGCAAGCGUUAAUCGGAAUUACUGGGCGUAAAGGGUGCGUAGGUGGUUUAUUAAGUUAUCUGUAAAAUCCCUGGGCUUAACCUGGGCAGGUCAGAUAAGACUGGUAGACUAGAGUAUGGGAGAGGGUAGUGGAAUUUCCGGUGUAGCGGUGAAAUGCGUAGAGAUCGGAAGGAACACCAGUGGCGAAGGCGGCUACCUGGCCUAAUACUGACACUGAGGCACGAAAGCGUGGGGAGCAAACAGGAUUAGAUACCCGUGU
This 457-nucleotide ribosomal RNA is filed under the name uncultured Legionellaceae bacterium. Its description in RNAcentral is "bacterial SSU rRNA". It matches the Rfam family "Bacterial small subunit ribosomal RNA", at positions 342 to 791 of the family's 1533-position model. The record is from RNAcentral. Lineage: Bacteria; Pseudomonadati; Pseudomonadota; Gammaproteobacteria; Legionellales; Legionellaceae.